GCUAACUACGUGCCAGCAGCCGCGGUAAUACGGAGGGUGCGAGCGUUAAUCGGAAUUACUGGGCGUAAAGCGUGCGUAGGCGGCUUGUUAAGUUGGAUGUGAAAGCCCCGGGCUUAACCUGGGAAUUGCAUCCAAAACUGGCAAGCUAGAGUGCGGAAGAGGAGUGUGGAAUUUCCUGUGUAGCGGUGAAAUGCGUAGAUAUAGGAAGGAACACCAGUGGCGAAGGCGGCUCUCUGGUCUGCAACUGACGCUGAGGCUCGAAAGCAUGGGUAGCGAACAGGAUUAGAUACCCUGGU
This 296-nucleotide ribosomal RNA is filed under the name Delftia tsuruhatensis. RNAcentral's name for it is "partial 16S ribosomal RNA". It matches the Rfam family "Bacterial small subunit ribosomal RNA", at positions 496 to 791 of the family's 1533-position model. The record is from RNAcentral. Lineage: Bacteria; Pseudomonadati; Pseudomonadota; Betaproteobacteria; Burkholderiales; Comamonadaceae.